GGGGGAGUGCGGCUUGCUACACAUGCAGUCGAACGAAGCAUGCCGGAGGAAGUUUUCGGAUGGAAUCCGGGAUCCCUUAAUGGCGGACGGGUGAGUAACGCGUGGGUAACCUGCCCUGUACUGGGGGACAACAGUUAGAAAUGACUGCUAAUACCGCAUAAGCGCACAGGACCGCAUGGUCCAGUGUGAAAAACUCCGGUGGUACAGGAUGGACCCGCGUCUGAUUAGGUAGUUGGCGGGGUAACGGCCCACCAAGCCGACGAUCAGUAGCCGACCUGAGAGGGUGACCGGCCACAUUGGGACUGAGACACGGCCCAAACUCCUACGGGAGGCAGCAGUGGAGAAUAUUGCACAAUGGGGGGAACCCUGAUGCAGCGACGCCGCGUGAGUGAAGAAGUAUUUCGGUAUGUAAAGCUCUAUCAGCAGGGAAGAAAAUGACGGUACCUGACUAAGAAGCCCCGGCUAACUACGUGCCAGCAGCCGCGGUAAUACGUAGGGGGCAAGCGUUAUCCGGAUUUACUGGGUGUAAAGGGAGCGUAGACGGCAGAGCAAGUCUGAAGUGAAAGCCCGCGGCCCAACUGCGGGACUGCUUUGGAAACUGCCCGGCUAGAGUGCUGGAGAGGUAAGCGGAAUUCCUAGUGUAGCAGUGAAAUGCGUAGAUAUUAGGAGGAACACCGGUGGCGAAGGCGGCUUACUGGACUGUAACUGACGUUGAGGCUCGAAAGCGUGGGGAGCAAACAGGAUUAGAUA
This 750-nucleotide ribosomal RNA is filed under the name uncultured bacterium. RNAcentral describes it as "bacterial SSU rRNA". It matches the Rfam family "Bacterial small subunit ribosomal RNA", at positions 26 to 784 of the family's 1533-position model. The record is from RNAcentral.